AAUGGCCGUUUCUGUUUGUCAGGUAACUUUGAAUUUCAUUUGUGAAAUGAUGACUUUCCCCGCAUUUUCAAAUUGAAUCCUUGCUCUGGAUUAGCUAUCUAUUGUUAAUUGAGCGAGCGCCUCAGCCAUUGUAGAUGAUACAAUAUUGUGAUAAUUUAAGGCAACUAACUGAUCAUGCUUUGGCUGGAUAGAAUGUCCCCUUUGAACUGUAUCACCUUUUGCUGAUGUGGUUUCUCUAGUCUAAUGCAACUUUAACUGAUAUAGAAAUAGUUCCUUCUUAACUUCCUCCCUUUAAUCCUGCUUAGUCGAGGAUGGAGAUUGAAAUCUUCACAUGUUGACUGCAGAUGUAUGAUCGCAUUGCUUUGUUUAAUCUUGUAAAUGGGGAUUUUAACAUAGGAGACAGUCCUAGAUGGAAAGUUUGCACCUUUGUUUAGUUUGAUGAGUUAUAUAUAGAAGUACUUGUAAAAGUGGCAAGCCUUAUUAUACUGCUCCUUAGUAGAAAUAUGAACAAAUUCAUUUGCUGAAAUUAGAUUACUUGUUUUAGUCUUUUAGAUAUCUGCCUCCGGUGCCCAUUGUCGAUCCAAUCUCAUUAUCAUUCAGCACGGUUGAUAAACCCAGAACUUUUAUCACAUAACGUGUUUUUAUCAAAACAAUGGGUGAUGACAUCUUCUUCCCUCACAUCUUCAUUGCUACAAUUAUUGCUCUUCAUCCUUAUAUUUAGUAUUAUAUAUGCAUGGAAUUGGAAAGUUCAUGAUGAAGGCUGAUUAGUCAUCGUGUAAAUUUUUGUAUUAUAAUUGUUACAAUGUUUGGAAGUAGUAACUGAUUACUUUUCCUUGCUUAUUUUUGCCUAGCAAAUUUCUUUUGUAAAAAUGUUGUAGCGUGUUCAUGGGCUUACAGUAGAUUCUUUAAUUUUCUAGUGAAAUAGUUUGACAUGGUUAAGAAUUCAAGGUUAGAAAAGGAGGGUAGUACCAAGUACAAGCAGUGUGAGUAGUUAAAUCAAGAAUUGAAAUGAUUGAUUUUAACACUCAUAGCCAAGGAUACUGAGGAAUUUAUUCUUCUCCAAGAUUAAUAAUUGUGUUCUUCAUGGAGCAAAGAUGGAUGGACUGUGCAUUUAUAACUCAGUUCUGUAUGAUCAUUCUGCCAUUCUGUUUUGAGAAUGAUCUAAAGACCACUUUGGCAGCAUUUAUUUUUUGAUGCUGAGAUACUUGAGAGAAGGGACCAACAUAUGGAAAGAAAAUAAUCCCAUCUCCAAGAUAGGAGGACAAGAUAUGCAGCACAUCAUUUUGAUAGUUUGGAUCCUAUGUGGUUAAAACUCAAAUGGGCUAGUAAAAGAGGUAGAUAAGCUUGGAAGUUGAAGAUACUGGCAUGCUGAAAAUACCAGAGGAAGGUUAGAAAGAAUUUGAUUUGGAUAGUGAAAGAGUUAUGGUGGUCUACGAUUUAAUUGUAGAUAUGGUCCCUGCUAACUGAACUGUAAGAAAUAAGAACCAUUUAAGUUGCUGUCUCCAAAUGGUUGACCAUCACAAAGUUUAGGAAGUCUCCAAGUAGUUUGGCUUUAAGGCUUGGCUUGCGUGAUGAAACUGCUAGUUCUUUUAUAUAUGAUAUGGACAUGAUAGAUAUCAGUUAUUCAUUGCUGUUAGUUGCUUAUGAUUGUGAAUUUUUUAUGAUAUAUGUGCUCAUUAUUUCCUUUUUGAUAGGAGGAGCUUGGAUAUUACUAGUAAUAUCUUCUCUGCAUCUUUACUUGCAUUGUUCAAUUGAGCAAAUUGUCUACAUAUAAAAUCAUGCAGGAAACAAAUUUUACAGAGGAACAGAUUCAGUCAUCAGAUGCUCUUUUAGAGAUGAGCCUGGGGCAUUGGGAGGGAUGCCCCUGUUCAGAAAUUUAUACACCUGAAGUUUUGGGCUUGAUUGAAAGUUCUCAGCCUGAUUUUUGUGCACCAUCUGGAGAAUCAUUAAGGCAAGUGGAAUUUAGGAUGGUCCAGUUCUUAAAUUGGACAAUUCUAGGACUGCCUGAAAAGUUGAGAUCCGAUUUCACAUUGCACCAUCAAAUCAAGAGCCAAGGGUUUUCUCAUGAUCGAGAUCCACCUGCUCUACUGCCACAACAUUGGGAUAUGCUUCAUAGGCAUCGGCCAGGGCUCUCAAGGAAGAAAUCAGGUAGGAGCAGGCUGCAGUAUGUGACUACCACUGGCAAUCAUGAGGGUGAGGAUGAGAUCUCUCCCAGGGGAGCCAAUGACCAAAGCGCACUCCAUAAUUUAAAUGUUAGGAGCUCAACCUCCACAUCCUCAUGUAUUGGUGUUUUCACUCAUUCAAUUCCUAUCAAGUGCCUCCUCACAGGUCUCCUGGGUUGCAGCCCAGUAAUGUUACAUAAGAUCUGCAUAGAAGAUUCUUCAGUGACAGUAUUGCU
RNAcentral lists this unclassified non-coding RNA (2398 nucleotides) under Hevea brasiliensis (rubber tree). The record is from RNAcentral. Lineage: Eukaryota; Viridiplantae; Streptophyta; Magnoliopsida; Malpighiales; Euphorbiaceae.